Molecule: ribosomal RNA, 440 nt
Filed under: uncultured bacterium
Lineage: Bacteria
Description: partial 16S ribosomal RNA
Rfam family: Bacterial small subunit ribosomal RNA
Source: RNAcentral
CCUACGGGGGGCUGCAGUGGGGAAUAUGGGACAAUGGGGGGAACCCUGAUCCAGCGACGCCGCGUGAGUGAAGAAGUAUUUCGGUAUGUAAAGCUCUAUCAGCAGGGAAGAAAAUGACGGUACCUGACUACGAAGCCCCGGCUAACUACGUGCCAGCAGCAGCGGUAAUACGUAGGGGGCAAGCGUUAUCCGGAAUGACUGGGCGUAAAGGGUGCGUAGGGGGUUUGACAAGUUGGUAGCGUAACUCCGAGGCUUACCCUCGGCACUACUACCAAAACUGUUGGACUCGAGUGCAGGAGGGGCAAAUGGAAUUCCUAGUGUAGCGGUGGAAUGCGUAGAUAUUAGGAGGAACACCAGUGGCGAAGGCGAUUUGCUGGACUGUAACUGACACUGAGGCACGAAAGCGUGGGGAGCAAACAGGAUUAGAUACCCUAGUAGUC